RNAcentral lists this ribosomal RNA (649 nucleotides) under Serratia marcescens. RNAcentral's name for it is "partial 23S ribosomal RNA". It matches the Rfam family "Bacterial large subunit ribosomal RNA", at positions 1099 to 1746 of the family's 2925-position model. The record is from RNAcentral. Lineage: Bacteria; Pseudomonadati; Pseudomonadota; Gammaproteobacteria; Enterobacterales; Yersiniaceae.
UGUUGGCUUAGAAGCAGCCAUCAUUUAAAGAAAGCGUAAUAGCUCACUGGUCGAGUCGGCCUGCGCGGAAGAUGUAACGGGGCUAAACCAUGCACCGAAGCUGCGGCAGCGACGCUUAGGCGUUGUUGGGUAGGGGAGCGUUCUGUAAGCCGUUGAAGGUGGCCUGUGAGGGUUGCUGGAGGUAUCAGAAGUGCGAAUGCUGACAUAAGUAACGAUAAAGCGGGUGAAAAGCCCGCUCGCCGGAAGACCAAGGGUUCCUGUCCAACGUUAAUCGGGGCAGGGUGAGUCGACCCCUAAGGCGAGGCUGAAAAGCGUAGUCGAUGGGAAACAGGUUAAUAUUCCUGUACUUGGUGUUACUGCGAAGGGGGGACGGAGAAGGCUAGGCUAGCCGGGCGACGGUUGUCCCGGUUUAAGCGUGUAGGGGGUGUGACCUGGUAAAUCCGGUUGCAUGCUAACCCUGAGGCGUGAUGACGAUGCACUACGGUGCAGAAGUAGUUGAUGCCCUGCUUCCAGGAAAAUCCUCUAAGCAUCAGGUAACAUUAAAUCGUACCCCAAACCGACACAGGUGGUCAGGUAGAGAAUACCAAGGCGCUUGAGAGAACUCGGGUGAAGGAACUAGGCAAAAUGGUGCCGUAACUUCGGGAGAAGG